AAUUCGCCCUUGAGCACGUAGGUGGGUUUGUAAGUCAGAUGUGAAAGCCUUCUGUUCAACGGAAGAAUUGCAUCUGAAACUACAAGUCUUGAGUGUAGGAGGGGAGAAUGGAACUUCUGGUGGAGCGGUGAAAUCCGUAGAUAUCAGAAGGAACGCCGGCGGCGAAAGCGAUUCUCUGGCCUAUUACUGACACUCAGUGUGCGAAAGCUAGGGGAGCAAACGGGAUUAGAUACCCCGGUAGUCCUAGCCGUAAACGAUGGGCACUAAGUAGAGGGGAUUACCGACGUUCUCUCUGCCGUAGCUAACGCAUUAAGUGCCCCGCCUGGGGAGUACGGCCGCAAGGCUAAAACUCAAAAGAAUUGACGGGGGCUCGCACAAGCGGUGGAGCAUGUGGCUUAAUUCGAUGCAACGCGAAGAACCUUACCGGGGCUUGACACGGUAGAAGUAGGAACCCGAAAGGGUAACGAACGGUAUCCAGUCCGUGACUAUCACAGGUGCUGCAUGGCUGUCGUCAGCUCGUGUCGUGAGACGUUGGGUUAAGUCCCCUAACGAGCGAAACCCUUGUUUUUAGUUACCAGCGGGUUAUGCCGGGUACUCUAGAAAGACUGCCGUCGUCAAGACGGAGGAAGGUGGGGAUGACGUCAAGUCAUCAUGGCCCUUAUGCCCCGGGCUGCACACGCGCUACAAUGGUCGGUACAAACGGAAGCGAAGCCGAGAGGUGAAGCGAAUCCAAGGGCGAAUU
This 742-nucleotide ribosomal RNA is filed under the name uncultured Planctomycetota bacterium. RNAcentral's name for it is "bacterial SSU rRNA". It matches the Rfam family "Bacterial small subunit ribosomal RNA", at positions 552 to 1288 of the family's 1533-position model. The record is from RNAcentral. Lineage: Bacteria; Pseudomonadati; Planctomycetota.